GGGGCCUGGCAANAGAAGUGGAUUAUCUUGAGAGCGGAGGAAACCUGAGUAAUGCCUAGGAAUCUGCCUGGUAGUGGGGGAUAACGUCCGGAAACGGACGCUAAUACCGCAUACGUCCUACGGGAGAAAGCAGGGGACCUUCGGGCCUUGGCGCUAUCAGAGGAGCCUAGGUCGGAUUAGCUAGUUGGAGAGGUAAUGGCUCACCAAGGCGACGAUCCGUAACUGGUCUGAGAGGAUGAUCAGUCACACUGGAACUGAGACACGGUCCAGACUCCUACGGGAGGCAGCAGUGGGGAAUA
RNAcentral lists this ribosomal RNA (299 nucleotides) under Pseudomonas sp. '5.5 MW-2'. RNAcentral describes it as "partial 16S ribosomal RNA". It matches the Rfam family "Bacterial small subunit ribosomal RNA", at positions 64 to 363 of the family's 1533-position model. Lineage: Bacteria; Pseudomonadati; Pseudomonadota; Gammaproteobacteria; Pseudomonadales; Pseudomonadaceae. The record is from RNAcentral.